This 339-nucleotide unclassified non-coding RNA is filed under the name soil metagenome. RNAcentral's name for it is "partial contains 5.8S ribosomal RNA, internal transcribed spacer 2, and large subunit ribosomal RNA". The stretch from base 1 to 120 matches the Rfam family "5.8S ribosomal RNA", at positions 35 to 154 of the family's 154-position model. The record is from RNAcentral.
GAUGAAGAACGCAGCGAAAUGCGAUAAGUAAUGUGAAUUGCAGAAUUCCGUGAAUCAUCGAAUCUUUGAACGCACAUUGCGCCCCCUGGUAUUCCGGGGGGCAUGCCUGUCCGAGCGUCAUUGCAACCCUCAAGCGCGGCUUGUGUGUUGGGCUUCGUCCCCCCGUGGACGUGCCCGAAAGGCAGUGGCGGCGUCCCGAAUGGUGCCCGAGCGUAUGGGAACUCUCUUCCGCUCGAACCGGCCCAUUCGGCGCUGGUCGAACCCCAAUUUUUUGUUACCGGUUGACCUCGGAUCAGGUAGGGAUACCCGCUGAACUUAAGCAUAUCAAUAAGCGGAGGA